CCAUCUCGUUGAUUUGGCGCUCCGCCCCGCCUCCAGCCCGAGGAGUCAAUAGUGAGGCUCUGAGGAUCAGAGGGCCGGGGCCAGGAGUUCUUCGAAGCCGGAGGGUGCGGAGCCCCAUCCGCAGAAGUGACAUCGCUCUUUCAAAUGAACUUAGAAGAAAAAUAUCAAGAGCAGCAACUGCGCCUGGAACCCUUGGAGCCAGGGACAGUUCUUUGGGCACUUCACACUUGCAAACUUCAAUCAAUGGGAGCCUAGGGCCUGAGCAUGGACUGUGAAUUAUUAGGGUCAGGAGAGGUACUUGCGCGUCCUAAGAGAGUAGCACAAGGGUGACCAGGGACAGGCCAAUUCUUGGAAAGAAGCUACACUGACUUUGGUUGGAGGUCUUAUGCUCCCUUGGCCUCUAGGCAAGGAAGGUGGCCCUCAUAUCUCCACAAAUCUAGGGGGCCCAGUUCCUGUUUCCAUUUAUAAAAACAACUGUUGGGUGUGGUCCCCCACCUUGUUAGUGGGCUGCCUGCUCAGUAAUUCUCCUCCCCUCAGUUUCAGGCUAGAUGGGUCACAGUGUUCAUUCAAUACAGUUGAUAUUGAGCAGGAAGAUGACAAGUACGCACGUACAAACUAUUCUUUUGUGUCAAACUCAUUUUAAACAAGAAGGAAGGUAAGGUGUUUUCUAGGGAAACUUACCUACUUUGGCAAAAGGAUAGCUGUUUCUGGUCAUAAUCAUCACAGACAGAUAUUGGUGGUUUAGAAGAAGCAUGUCCUGCCCCUAAAUCAAGCACUUCAUGUCCCUCAGUUAUUCCCUUGCAUUUUUGUUCAGCUGUUGAAAGGAUAACUGUGUGGAAUUCCUCAAAAUAAUCUCUUGUCUGUUUUUCAGGAGUCUCUGUUUCCUGGUCCCUUAUUUUCCAGGCUCCUGAUAUCUGAAAAGUUUCCAUGCUUGUCUACCUCUUCUCAUCUUGCUCUAUACAAGGAUCUCACUGAGUUGCUGAGGCUGGCUUUGAACUUGUGAUCUUCCUGCCUCAGCCUCCUGAGUCCCUGGGAUUAUAGGUGUGCAUCACUGCCUGGUGCAGCAUGGGCUUUAAAGGUCUCACCGCUCUCAAACUCUACAGCCACAUCUUGACCCUGGUGAGAGUUGCAACUUCUCCCUACAACCCUCUCCUCAACCUCAACUAGCAGUCAGCUCCACCCCAGAAGCCUGCCUUGGUUCCUGAUCUGAUCACCAUGGUCUGAGUGAGUGUGCAUCUGCUGGACUUAAAAGUCUAAGGCUUGAGACUUUUGAUCUGACACCCCCACCCCCCGCGCCUGCCAGGUAGGCGGAACUGUGACCACCGACAGAAAAAGCCCAGUGGCCCGCGGAGGGGCAGAGCUGCCAACCACUCCUGCAAGGUAGUCGGGCCUGCGACCCACUGGCAGAACAGGCGCAGCGGCCUGCUGAGAGGCAGAGCCGCCCCCUCCCCCCGCGCCUCCAAGGUAGACGGAACUGUGACCACCAACAGAACAGGCCAGACCUGCAACCGACAGACAGAACAGGCCAGACCUGCAACCGACAGACAGAACAGGCCCAGUGGCCUGAGGAAGGGUAGAGCCACCCCCCCCCAUGCCUGCAAGGUAGGCGGACCUGCGACCCACAGGCAGAACAGCCCCAGAGGCCUGCAGAGGGGCAGUGCCGCUGCCUGCGCCUGCAAAGUAGGUAGAACUGCGACCACCGACAGAACAAGCCUAGCGGCCCGCAGAGGGACAGAGCUGCCGCCCGCGCCUGCAAGGUAGGCGGACCUGCUACCGACCGGCAGAGCAGGCCCAGCGGCCUGCCGGUGUGGUAGGCACAUUGCCCCAAUUGGAGGAGGGGCAGAGCCGCUGCCCGCGCCUGCAAGGGAGACUUUGCAACUAUACAAGACCAAUAUAAAUAUAUAGGGGGAAAAUUCAAUAGCACAACAGUUUCACCAAGUAGAAAGGAACGCGAACAGUAUGAAGAGACAAGGAAAGAAAGGACCACAAGCAAUGCAGGUCAACUCAACGUUAGAAGAGGUAAUAGCUGCAGCAGAUGGAAUGUCAGAUAAAGAAUUCAGGAUAUACCAUGGACCACUCGAUAGACCCGAUUUUUAAAGGGGGACUCGAAACUGCUUGCCCCACAUCGUCCCUUUUCAGCCUGAAGAAGCCAGAAAGAUCUUCUUCGCCCCCCUUCCUUACAGCAGUAAGGAGUUCCCAACUUAUAGGGGGGAAUGAAGCCAGAUUUAAAAUUAGGUAGUCAGUGUAGUUAGAUAAAUCGGGUCUAAUAUCGAGUGAAAUCUAAAAUGGAGACCAUGCAGAGAAUGACUCAGGGAAAACACAGGACAACUCAUGGAAUGUUAAUGAAGUCCUGAAAAGGCCCUAGGCCAAAGUCCACCUCAAAGAAAUGUUAAUGAACAGCCCCCAGCAAAAAGGUGCUGACUCAGAAGUCCUUCCUGACCAGAUUACUUCUUUGGCCCACCUGUGUCCCACCCCUCGGGCCUUCCAACCUACAUUCCAUCACCAAAACUAUAAAAAGGGGAAACAAUCGCACUUCCACGGAUUCCACCUCUUGGGUCCCCUUCUUCCUCUGGGAGAAGUCUUUUCUGCUGUCCUUUAAUAAACUUCUAAUUUCUACUCUGAAAAAAAAAGUAUUCAGGAUAUACAUGCUUUAGAUGAUCUGGAGUCUCAAGGAAGACAUCAGACAGCAAAAUCAGACAAUGAAAGAUCACUUCAACAAUGAAUUACAUAAACAAAUCCAAGAAGCAAAAGAUCAACUAUACAGGGAGAUAGAGGUUAUAAAAAACAAACAAACAGAAAUCCUAGAAAUGCAGGAAGCAAUAAACCAACUUAAAAACUCAAUUGAGAAUACUACCAGCAGAGUAGAACACUUAGAAGAUAGAACAUCAGAUAAUGAAGAUAAAGUAUUUCAACUUGAAAAGAACAUAGACAGCUCAGCAAGACUAUUAAGAAACCAUGAGGAGCUAUAGGAUGAUCAACCCCCACAUUGGGCUCUGGAGUUAUGGGGAGUUCCACGUAGUGGGGCUUUGGGGGAAAAGCUGUAGGAUUUUCAACCCCCACAUUGGGCUCUGGAGUUAUGGGGAAUUCCACUUCCACAGGUUUAAAUGCGAAGCUGGAUACUGUUGGAUAAUGAACUUGAUUCUCAGUUAGGACCUGUGGCUGAGUUGAAGUUUCUUGUGUUGGAAUUAUUCCUUCUUGAUACUUUGGAAGCAAAGUUGAGGUUUUCUGCAUGGUUGGAAAAACAAAUAUGGGGACCGUUGGAAGAGAUAUAGAGAACGUUCCAAUAGCUAUAGGGAACGGUGAAAGAGCUACAGGCUUCUUCUUCGCUCUAGAACGUUUAGCGGGUUUUGGAGUUGAGGUGAGUUCCAGGUCCAAAGGUUGAAAUGUAACACUGGGUGAUGUUAAAUCCUGAGCUUGAUUCUGACUUAGGACCUGAGUUGAAGUUUCCAUCUGAGUUGUGGUUGCUUGCUGAGCUGAAGAGAAUCCAAAGUUUUCAGGGAAUCCUGGAGACUGGGAAGGGGCAUUCGACUGGGUUGGAUAAACUGUAACUUGCUGGGUGGAAACUGGCUCAACUUCUUUAGUGGCUUCUGAAGGUACAGUAACUAUCAGAGCCACAUGUUGAACUGUGGUUUUAGGCAAAUUUGAAGACCCACUUCUGAACAUUACUUCUAGAUCUUGAAAGAGGUGAAAAUGACAUGGAAUCACUGAAUGAAGGAAGCAAUAGUCAGGACAAAUGUGGAUUCUGGAGGUUUAGUUGGGAGUGUUUCCUGGACUGGUGGAAGUUCAACACUCACGGGGGGUGUUGAGGGCAGAGAUGAGCUCUCCUGCUGACUUGAUAAAGAUUCCUCAGGCACCUCUUCAAGCUGACUGGGGACCUCUUGAUCAAUUGGAGGUUGUUCCUCCUCUAGAGGGGGGCUUGGCUGAGGUUCCAACUGCUCAGGGGACACUGAGGACUCAUCUAGGGUCUCCUGUUGUGCUGAAGUUUCAACCUCAUUAUUCAAUUCUGGAGUAGGAGACUCAGCUUGAUCAGAACCUAGAGAAGAACCUGUCACAUCCUCACCUUCUGGAGAUUGACCUACAUCGUUAGGGAGCUCUGGAGGCACAGUUGGGGCUUCAGGCUGGGAUGCAGAAGGUCCUAAGUCAUUAGUUGGAAUUGGUCAAAGAAGUUCCCACCUCUGUAGUGGGUUCAGGUGUUAUAGUCAUUAGUACAUCUGCAGGUUUACCAGUCACACUGGGCAAGUCUAGAGAUUGCACCGGUACUUCCAGCUGGCUUUCAGAAGACUGGUCCUCCCCAGGAGACUCAGAAGGCUGAGUUGGGGUCUCUUGCUCACUGAGAGAAGGUUCAGUCUCCACAGGAGGGCCCGGAGGCUGAGCUGGGGUCUCUUGCUGGGUUGGAGAAGGUUCUACCUCCUCCGCAUACUCUGGAGGCUGAACUGGGGCCUCCUGAACUGGAGCCUCUGGCUGAACUGGGGCCUCCUGAACUGGAGCCUCCUGAACUGGGGCUUCCUGAACUGGGGCCUCCUGAACUGGGGCCUCUGGCUGAACUGGGGCCUCUGGCUGAACUGGGGCCUCCUGAACAGAGGCCUCUGGCUGAAUUGGGGCCUCCUGCUGGGCUAGAGAAGAUUCGGCCUCCUUGGUAGGUUCUGAAGUUAUGGUAAUUUCCACGUCUGCAGGCCUACCUGUAACACUGGGCAAGUUAUAAUAAUGAACUUGAUCCUGACCAGCUAAAGAGGGUUCAGAGAGCUCUGAAGUCUGAGCUGGAGGUAAAAUCUAUUAAAGUCUUUCAGAAAUUGGUCCCUGUCAACUUGACAGUAUAGAAUGGGCCAAUGGUCUACAUGGGGACAUUUUGGAAAUUUGAGUUUUUGUCUUUCUCAAUUAAAAAGACAUGCUACUGGAAUUUG
Molecule: long non-coding RNA, 4901 nt
Organism: Marmota monax (woodchuck)
Lineage: Eukaryota; Metazoa; Chordata; Mammalia; Rodentia; Sciuridae
Exons: 4
Source: RefSeq, a predicted model, not a curated record